UACGAACCGUGCGAACGUUAUUCGGAAUCACUGGGCUUAAAGCGCGUGUAGGCGGGCCGGCACGUCCGGUGCUGAAAGCCCCCGGCUCAACCGGGGAAGUGGCACGGAUACGACCGGCCUGGAGGGGGGUAGGGGGACCUGGAACUCCCGGUGGAGCGGUGAAAUGCGUUGAGAUCGGGAGGAACGCCCGUGGCGAAGGCGAUCACCUGGGGUUGUUCUGACGCUGAGGAGCGAAAGCUAGGGGAGCAAACGGG
This 254-nucleotide ribosomal RNA is filed under the name uncultured bacterium. Its description in RNAcentral is "partial 16S ribosomal RNA". It matches the Rfam family "Bacterial small subunit ribosomal RNA", at positions 524 to 776 of the family's 1533-position model. The record is from RNAcentral.